This is a non-coding RNA of Prunus mume (Japanese apricot), 214 nucleotides long. The record is from RefSeq and is a predicted model, not a curated record. NCBI's taxonomy places the organism in Eukaryota, Viridiplantae, Streptophyta, Magnoliopsida, Rosales, Rosaceae.
CGAGAACUCUGGUUCUUCAAAUGAAGAUAGCUAUGUUGAACGCUUGCUCGAUUGUAUUAGCAAUGGUAAACUGUCAGAGGACAGGAGGACUGCUAUGCUCGAGCUUCAAUCUGUUGUGGCAGAAAGCUCUAAUGCACAGCUAGCAUUUGGAGCAAUGGGCUUUCCUGUUAUGAUGGGCAUAUUAAAGGAAGAACGCGAUGAUGUUGAAAUGGUU